This 774-nucleotide ribosomal RNA is filed under the name uncultured Neocallimastigales. RNAcentral describes it as "partial large subunit ribosomal RNA". It matches the Rfam family "Eukaryotic large subunit ribosomal RNA", at positions 24 to 648 of the family's 3401-position model. The record is from RNAcentral. Lineage: Eukaryota; Fungi; Neocallimastigomycota; Neocallimastigomycetes; Neocallimastigales.
UAUCUCUGUAGAGUCUGCAUAUCAAUAAGCGGAGGAAAAGAAACUAACUAGGAUUCCCUCAGUAACGGCGAGUGAAGCGGGAAGAGCUCAAAUUUGAAAUCUUCAAGGUUCUACCUUGACGAAUUGUAGUUUAAAGAAGUGUUUUCUGUUGGAGUUUUGGUAAAAGUUCUUUGGAAUAGGACAUCAUAGAGGGUGAGAAUCCCGUAUUUGACCAUUAUUUCCAGCUUUGUGAUACACUUUCAAAGAGUCGGAUUGUUUGGGAAUGCAGUCCAAAAUGGGUGGUAAAUUUCAUCUAAAGCUAAAUAUUGGCGAGAGACCGAUAGCGAACAAGUACCGUGAGGGAAAGAUGAAAAGAACUUUGAAAAGAGAGUUAAACAGUACGUGAAAUUGUCAAAAGGGAAGCGCUUGACACCAGUGUUGUUUUUCUGAAAAUCAAUUAAAGAACUGUUUAUGCUAAGUUGUUUAGACUUUAUCAGCUAACUGUUUAGUUUUGAGCUUUUCUUUAAUGCACUUUUCAGUUAACAAGUCAACAUCAAUUUCUUCUGCUGUAAAAAAGCUUGAGGAAGGUGGCUUGAGAUUCGUCUUAAGUGUUUAUAGCCUCUUGCCUAUGUAGUCGGAGAGAUUGAGGUCUGCAGCGUAGAUCCUUCGGGGCUAAAUGCAUUUGUGCUAAGUUAUAGCAUUUUAUAGACAACUUGUUGACUAUGAUUUGUCUUGUAGCUUACUCGCUUAUGUUAUUUUACCUACGCUUAGGAUGUUGACGAUCAGCUGAGCGCG